This 443-nucleotide ribosomal RNA is filed under the name uncultured bacterium. Its description in RNAcentral is "partial 16S ribosomal RNA". It matches the Rfam family "Bacterial small subunit ribosomal RNA", at positions 338 to 795 of the family's 1533-position model. The record is from RNAcentral.
CCUACGGGUGGCAGCAGUGGGGAAUAUUGGGCAAUGGGCGCAAGCCUGACCCAGCAACGCCGCGUGAAGGAAGAAGGCUUUCGGGUUGUAAACUUCUUUUGUCAGGGACGAAGCAAGUGAUGGUACCUGACGAAUAAGCCACGGCUAACUACGUGCCAGCAGCCGCGGCAAUACGUAGGUGGCAAGCGUUAUCCGGAUUUACUGGGUGUAAAGGGCGUGUAGGCGGGACUGCAAGUCAGAUGUGAAAACCACGUGCUCAACCUGUGGCCUGCAUUUGAAACUGUAGUUCUUGAGUACUGGAGAGGCAGGCGGAAUGCCUGGUGUAGCGGUGAAAUGCGUAGAGAUAAGGAGGAACACCGGUGGCGAAGGCGGAUUGCUGGACAGUAACUGACGCUGAGGCGCGAAAGCGUGGGGAGCAAACAGGAUUAGAUACCCCGGUAGUC